GCGUAAAGCGUGCGCAGGCGGUUUUGUAAGACAGGCGUGAAAUCCCCGGGCUCAACCUGGGAAUGGCGCUUGUGACUGCAAAGCUGGAGUGCGGCAGAGGGGGAUGGAAUUCCGCGUGUAGCAGUGAAAUGCGUAGAUAUGCGGAGGAACACCGAUGGCGAAGGCAAUCCCCUGGGCCUGCACUGACGCUCAUGCACGAAAGCGUGGGGAGCAAACAGGAUUAGAUACCCUGGUAGUCCACGCCCUAAACGAUGUCAACUGGUUGUUGGUCCUUAGCUGGAUCAGUAACGAAGCUAACGCGUGAAGUUGACCGCCUGGGGAGUACGGCCGCAAGGUUGAAA
Molecule: ribosomal RNA, 341 nt
Filed under: uncultured bacterium
Lineage: Bacteria
Description: bacterial SSU rRNA
Rfam family: Bacterial small subunit ribosomal RNA
Source: RNAcentral